GACGAACGCUGGCGGCGUGCUUAACACAUGCAAGUCGAACGGAAAGGCCCUGCUUUUGUGGGGUGCUCGAGUGGCGAACGGGUGAGUAACACGUGAGUAACCUGCCCUUGACUUUGGGAUAACUUCAGGAAACUGGGGCUAAUACCGGAUAGGAGCUCCUGCUGCAUGGUGGGGGUUGGAAAGUUUCGGCGGUUGGGGAUGGACUCGCGGCUUAUCAGCUUGUUGGUGGGGUAGUGGCUUACCAAGGCUUUGACGGGUAGCCGGCCUGAGAGGGUGACCGGGCAAAAUGGGACUGGGAAAAGGCCCAGAAUCCUAAGGGAGGGAAGAGGGGGGAAAAAUGCAAAAUGGGCGGAAGCCUGAAGGCGGAAAGCCGGGGGCGGGAAGAAGGGCUUUGGGGUGGAAACCGCCUUCGCCUGGGAAGGAGGGGGAGGGAAGGUAAAGGGUAAAGGAGCAACGGCUAAAUAAGUG
This 468-nucleotide ribosomal RNA is filed under the name uncultured bacterium. Its description in RNAcentral is "partial 16S ribosomal RNA". It matches the Rfam family "Bacterial small subunit ribosomal RNA", at positions 28 to 507 of the family's 1533-position model. The record is from RNAcentral.